Cebus imitator (Panamanian white-faced capuchin) is the source of this 1416-nucleotide long non-coding RNA. RefSeq lists it as uncharacterized. NCBI's taxonomy places the organism in Eukaryota, Metazoa, Chordata, Mammalia, Primates, Cebidae. The transcript has 3 exons. The record is from RefSeq and is a predicted model, not a curated record.
CCCACACGCAGCCCGGGUGUGCACGCUGGCUCCAAGCCCACUCCUAGCACGUCCCCACCCUGCCACUUGUGCCCUGCGAUGCCCACUGCCAGCAGUGCUCUUCCCCGUCUUGCUCUUCGUAGGAACACUUCUUACCUGGUUCAGACACCUCCUCCACGAAGCCUUCCUGCCCCUCCCCCCUCCGCGUCUUGGCCUGGGACAUUGCUUCCUACACAUUGGAAGCGCUGUUGUCUGCUAGCCAUUAAGGCCGCGUGCACUAUCUCAUGUCUGAGGAUCUGGGCUGGGGUUUCAGUCAUGUUCCAAUCAGACCUCUGCCGCCAACUAGCUGUGAGCAAGAGGUUUUGCUUCCCUAGGCCUCAGUCUCCCCUUCUGAGAAAUGGGGUGGGCAACAGGAUCUCUCUGUGAGGGCUGAGAUUAUCAGCUGUUAUUGCUGUAUCAUGUGGCCACUGCUGUACAGAAAGGAUCCCUCCCUGUGUCAGCCCCCACCAAGGAGUGGUCCUGCCAUUCUGCCUGCAGCUCCAGCACCGAGUCCUGCCUCCACUACAGCCCCGACACCCUGAGCUGGGCCUGUCCCCUUGCAGGAUGGGACCCAGAGACCCAGAUCUGGAAUUGGACCUGACCAGGGGGAGGCCAGAGCAUUCAAUGAGCUGUGUUGCCAUGAGUCCCAAGCACAGAGAGCAGCAGCAGGUAGACCUGUCUGCACUGGGCCUGGUUCCUGGUCUUCAGCGCCCACUGCCUCGUGGAGGAAGGAGCCACCUGCCUGGUCAUCGGCAGAAACACACCCUCUAUGCAUCUGUCACCUUCUCGGCUGCACACAACGUAGCUAACAGGAAACCGCUACGAUCUGUUCGGGACGAUGGGACUGAAAAUACAGCCUGAGAGAAAUAUGGGAUGACCGUGGCCUCUGUUGACAAAUGGAGACCUGGAGGCCCAGAGCGGUUAAGUCACUGGUUGGAGGUCCCAUGGCUACUAAGGGAUGCCGCCAGGAUUUGAACUCAGGAGGCCUGCCCUCCCCCAUGUGGAUUUCCUCCCACAACAGUCCCUGUGGAAAUGACUCUGGUUCUACUCAUGCCCUGCUCCAGAGCCCCCCGACCCUCCUCGGGACUCCAAUUCCUUGGCUAGACCGGGAGCCCCUUGAGGAAAGGACCCAAGUCUGCUCUGUGUCCCUGUGCCCACCACUCCCAGCACAGAGCUGGCUCCAGGACCAGUAAGGCUCAGAGCGGGGAAGGGACUGGCUUCAGAUCACACAGCAAGUCCCAGGCAAGCCUGUCUGGCUGUGGGGUCCUGAGACCGCACUUCCAAGGAAGUACUCAGGACUAAGCAGGUCCCACCACCCCUGACCCCAGGAAAGCCUCCUGCGGGUACCUCCUCAAGCCCUGGGCCACUCCAGCCCCUGCGCCCGCCCUCUCACCUCCG